Stegodyphus dumicola is the source of this 1056-nucleotide unclassified non-coding RNA. The record is from RefSeq and is a predicted model, not a curated record. NCBI's taxonomy places the organism in Eukaryota, Metazoa, Arthropoda, Arachnida, Araneae, Eresidae.
AAGUGCAACGAAUGCUUUCUUCUUUGUGGCAAUCGGUUGGCUGUUGACAUGGAUCGUGUUGAGCAAUAAAUUGAUCCGAUCUGCUUGAAAAAAUUUUAAAUUUAUUAUAAAUCGCAUAUUGUGAAUUUUAUAAAAAUAUAAUAUAGUACAUAUACUAUAAGUUUACCAUGAGCACUCGCAUUUAUAUAGGACGUUUGAAUUAUGAUGUUAGAGAAAGGGAUUUGGAGAAGUUUUUCAAAAGUUAUGGAAGAAUUAAUGGCAUAAUGAUAAAGAAGGGAUUUGCAUUCGUAGAAUUUGAUGACUAUCGUGAUGCUGAUGAUGCAGUUUUUGAGUUGAAUGGGAAGAAACUUCUGGGAGAAAGAGUAACUAUCGAACAUGCCCGAGGGUCGCCACGAGGAAACGACAUGUAUAGAGAUCGUAAUAGAGGAUAUCAACGUCCAAUGCAAAAUAGGCGUCGCCAGGGAGGAGGUCGCGACAAGUACACUCCACCUACAAGAACUGAGUAUCGACUUAUUGUGGAAAAUUUGAGCAGCAGGGUGAGCUGGCAGUUACCAUCCAUCCAGCCCGAGAAUCUGGUAAAGGGUUGCGAUGUGCACUAAGAGGUGAAGCGGGCAGGUUGCACAUAGUCCUGUUUAUCUUCUACAAUCAUCCUUCCUAACGAUGGGACCACUUGUUGUGGCAGUACUGAUCAAUGGACAUGUUGGACCUUGGCAGUGUGGUGGAUCUCGGCUGCAAUACUCUGUGGUUGGAUCCAAAGACAAGCUUAAUGCAACCAUUAAACAACCAUAAUGCAACCAUUGGGUGGCAUAAUGGAACCUAAGACUCAAAGGGUCAGGUCCUCUCUCUCCCAGCACAACCUGGCGUGCAGCAGGUUCUGGGUUUCAACAACCCAUCAAUGGUUGGGCAAGUGCAGUGUGUGGUGGUCCCUACGAGCAAUAUACCUGUAUCUAUUGACGUCACUGUUUUUUCAUUCAGGAUCUGAAAGAUUACAUGCGACAAGCUGGUGAGGUGACUUAUGCUGACGCCCAUAAACUGAGACGCAAUGAAGGGUAAGUC